UUUGUGGAGAGUUUGAUCCUGGCUCAGGACGAACGCUGGCGGCGUGCUUAACACAUGCAAGUCGAACGGAAAGGCCCUGCUUGCGGGGUACUCGAGUGGCGAACGGGUGAGUAACACGUGGGUG
RNAcentral lists this ribosomal RNA (124 nucleotides) under Corynebacterium macginleyi. Its description in RNAcentral is "partial 16S ribosomal RNA". It matches the Rfam family "Bacterial small subunit ribosomal RNA", at positions 1 to 123 of the family's 1533-position model. The record is from RNAcentral. Lineage: Bacteria; Bacillati; Actinomycetota; Actinomycetes; Mycobacteriales; Corynebacteriaceae.